This 32-nucleotide transfer RNA is filed under the name Aegilops columnaris. RNAcentral's name for it is "partial tRNA-Phe". Lineage: Eukaryota; Viridiplantae; Streptophyta; Magnoliopsida; Poales; Poaceae. The record is from RNAcentral.
UCGUGUCACCAGUUCAAAUCUGGUUCCUGGCA